Molecule: non-coding RNA, 45 nt
Organism: Schistosoma haematobium
Lineage: Eukaryota; Metazoa; Platyhelminthes; Trematoda; Strigeidida; Schistosomatidae
Source: Rfam
AUUCAGCUGACGAGUCCCAAAUAGGACAAAACGUACGUUAUAGAU